AACCAGAAUGCUCUCUCCCGUUAGGCUAUGAUGAAAUACACAGUAUGCCGUGGUUAAAUCUUCAAACAUAAUUAGUUUACAUGUUAUCGAGACAACAGACAAUACCACGUUAUAAUUGACCCAGAUACAUACAGUGUACAGUGGUCGUUUUAAAACAAAUAUAAUUGCGUCGUCAAGGGCCAUCAAAGGACCAUAUCAAAGACGUAGAUAACAACCUGUUAAGACCUGUAAAAAUUAUUGAAAACUUUCGAGACGUUCCGAGAAUUUUAUUCUGACUUCCGGCCGAGAGAUACCGAGUGGCCCAUAGACACAUCCAAAACUCGCCAAUAUAUAAGCAUGAACC
RNAcentral lists this long non-coding RNA (343 nucleotides) under Mytilus galloprovincialis (Mediterranean mussel). The record is from RNAcentral. Lineage: Eukaryota; Metazoa; Mollusca; Bivalvia; Mytilida; Mytilidae.